Non-coding RNA from Equus caballus (horse), 9505 nucleotides. NCBI's taxonomy places the organism in Eukaryota, Metazoa, Chordata, Mammalia, Perissodactyla, Equidae. The record is from RefSeq and is a predicted model, not a curated record.
UUCCUCAGCAAAAGAGGAGGAUUGGCAGCAGAUGUUAGCUCAGGGCUCAUCUUCCUCAAAAAAAUAAAUGCCCUUGCUAAGUCCACGGAGAUAACUGGGGCUCCAUCUCUGACAUGACUCCCCCUCUGUAAGCCACCCAGGUAGGUGAUGGUUACGAGCUGAAUUGCUUCCCCCAAAUCCAUAUGUUGAAGUCCUAACCCCUAAUACCUCAGAGUGAGACCAUAUCUGGAGAUAGGGUUUUUAAGGAGGUAAUUGAGGUUAAAUGAGGUCAUGAGAGGGUCCCUAAUUGAAAAUGACUAGUGUCCUUAUAAAGGGAGAUUAGGACACAGACAUACAAAGAGGGAAGACCGCGUGAAGACGCGGGAAGAAGACAGCCACCUGGAAGCCAAGGAGAGAGGCCUCAGGGGAAACCAACCUUACCGACACCUUGAUCUUAGACUUCCAGCAUCCAGAACUAGGAGGAUAAAUUUCUGUUGCUUAAGCUACCCAAGCUGUGGUCCUUUAUGGCAGCCCAGCAAACUAAUACAGUAAUGCUAUGCAGUCGUGUGCCACGUAACAACGUUUCAGUCAACCACAGACCACGUAUACCAUGGUGGUCCCCUAAGGUUAGCACCAUACGGCCUAGGUGUGUAGUAGGUUGUGCCGUCUAGGUUUGUGUACGUGCACGCUAUGACGUUCACACAACAAAACACCUAAUGACGCAUUUCUCACAAUUCAUCCCCAUCAUUAAGUGACGCAUGACUGCAUUUUGUUCAGAGAUAACUGAGGGCUUAGAACGUCUGUGUUUUUUACUUAACCAAUCUCCUCUGGCAAAAGCAAGAUAUGAUUCUUCCCAGUGCUCCUCCUGGGUCCUCUGCUGGAUUCUAGAAUCCCCCAGGAUGCUGUCAAAACCAAAGCCCAGGGCCCAGAUUCCAGAGAGUCUCAUUAACGGGGAAAGGCAAGGUUCAUGUUCUCCAAGCUCCCCAGGAGGUUCCAAUGUGCAGCCAGAAUGGAGCACCCCCACUCUACGGCUCAGAUCAUAAAUUUCUAAAAUCUGGGCCAGCCAAGUUUCACAGGCUGAAUAAUGGCCCCUGAAACAGGUCUUACCUGCAUCCUAAUCCGCAGAACCUAUGAACAUUACCUUAUGUGAUUAAGUUAAGGAUCGUGAGGUCCAAAUUAUCCUGGAUUAUGGGGUGGGCCCUAAAUGUAAUCACAAGUCCUCAUAAGAAGGUCAAAUGAGGAAGAAGGUGAUGUGAUGUUGGAAGCAGAGGGAUGUAAGGCAACGUGAUGCACGCUGUGAACAAGGGGAUGCUGGUGACCUCUAGAAGCUGGAAAAGGCAAGGAAAUGGAUGCCCUGUUAGAUCAUCCAAGAGGACCUGCCCUGCUGACACCUGAUUGUAGCCCUGUAGGACUCAUCCUAGACGUCCACCCUCCAGAACUGCAAGAGAGACAUUGCACUGUUUCAAGCCAUCCAGUCCGUGGUAACUGUUACAGUAGCCACAGGCAACUAGGACACUAGAGCUCCCCUGAGGAGCUGGGGGAAAAUGCAGACGCCCAGCCUUUUCAAAGCUCCAUGGUCAGUGGGGGUCACGCUCCCAUGGGCAUCUGACUCCACUGAGGCUCUUUUUCAAACCCAGACCCUGGGCCCCACGCCCCAGAAUUUCUGAUUCAGCAGGACUGGGGUGGGGCCCGAGAAUCUGCAUUCUAACAAAUUCCCAGGUGGGCUUGGAGAACCACCGCUGUAGAUGCUUCUGAGGCACAGACCAGAAUGCCACGAUCACAAUCCCAGUGAAGGACCUGGAGUCCAUUGCACACAAAAGUUUCUAUCACCUGUUUCCUCAUCUGCACCUAGAAGGGGAAGAUUUUUCCUUAAUUCAGAGAAUUGUGAACAUCAAAUGACAUAAUGCAUUAUUACCUGUCACUGUUUCUGUACACACUCCCACCUCCAGCAAAACCUAACCAAAUCAAAAUGCACUUCCUCAAAGCAACAAAAAACGCCCCUUAUCUCUUUUUUUUCUGCUGGUGAGCACGCAAACCUGGCUGCUCCAACAUCUCCUCUCCGGGCUGUCUCUGUCUCGGGGAUUUAGGCCAGGGAUCUCACCUGAGCGUGAAUCAGCUCUCCUGGGGGUGUCUGGAAACCCAGGGGACAUUUCUGGCUGCCACCACGACUGGGGGAGUGCUACUGGCAUUUUGUGGGGAGGGGCCAAGGAUGCACCAUCCAUCCUGCAAGGUUCAGGAUAGUCCUACAGAAGGAGGAAGGUCCUGCCCUAAAUGCCAUUGUGUCCCUAGGCAAAAGAUGAAGGCUCAUUGGUCAUCUGGUUUCCAAUUGUGGCCUGUGGGUUGUCCCCCAGGUUCAGAGGGUCACUGAAGGACUUUCAUUCUGAAGGCCUUUGCUGGCUACAGACAGCCAGCCAAAAAAAGACCUUACAAGGCCUGUUCUCCAGAGUCUAGACUCCACGACUUGCCCCUCCCCCUUAAUACCAUUUCGUGAGAGCCCCCUACCCACUGAUGAGGGGACCAUAUCCCCUCCUUGCCACAGCACCAGGAUUACAUCGUAUUUGUUUUUAAUCCUCCAGAGCAAAAGAUGGGCAGCUGCCUGGCGGAGCCAUAGCCAAUUGAAGGAACCCUCAGAAUGCCCUGUCCGGAUGCCAAGGAUAGGUUCACCCUUCUGCGCAGUGAAGCACACCACCUGCCCAUGGCUGAUGAGGACGACGCCUCCCUGAGGUCCACCCAGAAAACGGCUGUUCUCAACACCACGGGAGAGCGCCCCAUGGGCACAGGGAGGCAGCCUGCUUUACGCCCUCACUCCACACUCCCUCUGCCUUAAGGCUGCAGGAUCUCCUUACUCCACAACGAAACAGAGCAGAGACCACAGGGCACAUUUCAGAAAUGCCUCAGAACAUCCAGCUGGUGGAACGCCAGGCUCUAGGCCCAAUUCUGUCACUAUCUAGGGCCAACUGUGUAAGUCUGGACACCUCAGUCGACCUAUCUGGGCCUCAGCUUUAAGUCCACAAAAAGGGGUUUGUGUGGCUAUAUGGUCUAAGGAACGUUCCAGCUCUACGUUCCACGAUCUGAGGAUAGGAUAUGGCUUCUAUAAGCCUGCUUUGCUCUGGACACUGGCACCUCAUGUUUUCUACGUGGGAUGUUGGCUCAGCCAUCGGGGGACUGCAGUUGGCAUCAUGGAUUCUCAACAGCAAAGCAGUCUCCUUCCCAUCCUCAGAGACAGAAAGCAGCAGGCAGGCCCGGCACUACGUGGACCUCAACUUUAUAGUGAGUGGCUCGCCAGGACCAAAAAUCUGCCUCCUUCAAUAUUCACCUCGGGGCUCGACCACAGCGCCCACUCUGCACUUAGUGCACCAACCCAAUAUCACAGGGCCCCUGGGUGCAGGGAGAAUGAGGAACCAGAUUAAAGCGACACUGUCAUAAAUAGCAUCCCUCUCUGUUUUCAAUAUCACUUGAACUGCAUUCCCGUAAGGGACAGGUCAGAGUUUCCUGCUUGCCCACUGAAGGCUGGGGGCUCAUGAGACCUAUCAUGAUCAUUCAAUUGUUGGAGAAAAGAUAUUCAAAAUUACUCUCAGCUCCCCCACUUAGAAGCACUACCAUUUAAUAAGUUUCAACCACGUGCUGGGCAGACAACACAAGUCUAAACGUCCCAGCAAACCCUACGGUAAAACCCCCACUUACAGAUGGGCACCUAAGGACCUCGCUUCCUUUGCACAGGAGCUUCAUAAAAACGCUUUCUGCCUUGUUCUCAGUGACUGGUGAGGGAACAGCGUUCCACCAAUAUCUGUUGAAUGCAAGAUCCUUUUCAAAAUGGCAAAAGGAGUUUCAUAUGGAAGUGUGACUGCGACCCCCCCUUCUCCCCCUCAUAAGUGUCUCAUUAAGAGCUGCAAGGACCUAAUAAAUGAAUCCCUCUGGCUCAUUACACGCUGACCCCAGAGAUUUGUCUUCUCCCUGGAGAAGUGAACACAAAGCGGGGAAUCACAAGAGAUUCCCGAGAAGGCGGUGGACCUUCCUAUCCCAUCCGCCAAGAAUUUCUCAAGUUUAAGAAGUAAGGUGGUUCUUAGCCAAUCACAAACAGCCUAGAAAAGAUCUGAAGAUUGAUCACCAGUUCUUUCCUUGGCUCUGUGACUCUUCACUCCUUCCCAGGCACCAACCAGGAAAGAAGUGUUUGUUUAAAAGCCCCAGGGAAGCUCGCGGCUCCCUUCGGGACUCACGCCCUCCUCUGGCCCAAGCUCCCACCGCAGGCGAUCCCUUGUACGCAGACCUCUGAGGUCCGAGGGCACAAGAAAACUGACUUCUAACUUUCCAGGUUGCAAACAAAGCAGUUUAAAGCCAGAGUCCUCCAAACAGGGAGGAGCCCUGGACUGUCUUCCACUUCGGUGCUGUAAAGAAAUCUCAGAAUCCCCAAAGCAUUGCGCUGCAGGGGAAAACCUCAGAACAGAAAAGGGCUACUUGGGGAAGGAAAAAAAACACAGGCGGAAGCUUGCAAAAGAGCAAGCACGCAGUUCUCCCACGUGGUCCGCGGGGCAGGGAGCCUAGCAGAGCGGAAGCGUGAAAUUGGCAGCGCUCAGGGAGAGGGUCUCACCAGCUGCAGGCCCCCCUCACCUGGCACAGAAGUUCUCACGGAAGGGAGAUUCCUCCAGAAGAAGGAACUGGCGGUUCCCGAAGGUUCCCUCCAGCUGCUAACCCGGGGCGGGACGCGGUUUGCUCUUCCUACCACAGUAAUUCGACCGGGGGGUUUGCUCCUUUGCCUGAAUUCCUGGAGGACAGAGCAGGAAUGGGGUUGACCCGAGGCUCAGGAAUGACAAAAAGGAAAUAGAGUAACAUGUUGCUGGGUAAACUUUUUGAUUUACCAACUAUGGCUUACUCAUCUUCAAUUUGGGAGGAGGCUUUUAAAGGGCAUGAGACGCUGCCUCGCUCACAUCCCCGGCUAUCCUGAACCCCUCCCACCUCGGACAACGGCCCAGACACCUAGGUUCAGAAUCCAGAGUCACAUUUUCAUCAUUCAACACUGGCUGGUCACCACCAUCCCGCCCCCUGCCCCAAACGCACGCACACGCACACACACACACACGCAGACACACACCCCAACACCACCACCAGCCCUCCGCUGGGAUAAUCCCUUACUCUCAAAAUGCCCAUCCUUUCCCUACUGGGAUAAUCCAAUUUACCCUCCUUUGAUGGAUUAAGCUCUCCUAAACAGAAUGGGUGAGAGUGAUGUUCUGAGAUGCAGAAAUGUUGCGGAUUACUCUGGGGGUGGGAGCAUGGCUGUGGAAGUGAAAUGAGAAGGAAAAAGUUAAAAAAUCUUCCCCAGAGCACAAACUUUGAGAUGAGCUUUGCUAGCGGCGUCUGGGCAUAUUCAACGUAAUCAACUGUUGUUUAAAACUAACCAGGUUUUCUGUCCCUCCUUACUAUGUGAGUGAGCUGUCUUUCCCAGGAAGUCAAGGUCCAAACAUCAAGAUCCAGCCUCACUAGGCCAAAUGCAGGCUGAAGACGAAAACUAAAGAGAAAAGUCCAGACAGUCAAGGGAAAAGAAAUUCAGGCUUCAAGGCUGCACGCAGGCUGGUGGGAAGGCGCCAACCAGCAAGCCCUUCAGGGACGUGGUUUUCUAGGAGCCGGUCUGCUGAUCGCUGUGUUGGGGAGCAGGAGACCCGUUACUCACAGGGGAACCACUGCAGGACACAGAUACCAUGUGCAUCUUUAACAGUGAAAAAAAUGCGUAACUUCUCAAACAAGAUAUCUGACGCCCGAGUCUGAACCCUUCUCAAUAAGAAGUAAUAAAAGUUACAGCUUAGGUAAGGGGUCAGCAAACCUUGCUUACCAAGAGGCAACAACAUAGGAGUGUGUGAAGCUCGGGCACGUAGGCAAUGUCUAGUCAAAUGAGCGUGGCUGUAUUCCAGUACAACUUUAUGGACACUAAAACUUGAAUCUCACAUGAGAAAACAUUUUAUUUUCUUUAGAUUUUUUUCCCAACCACUUAAGACUGUAAAAACCAUUCUUAGUUUGAAGCUCUGAAGAAACAGGUGGAGAGCUGGUUUGGCUGAGGACAUGGGCCAUUGUUUUCCACUCUCCUUCCAGAAUCAGAUGGCUGUUGGGUACCCUUGUUGGACAAUGCUUUAAUGUGUCUUUGAAAAGACAGACAAUAGUCUUUUUGGCUUAUUUCCAAGUUUUGGAUAAUUUUUUCAUAGCAAGCCCUAGAAUAAAAGGGGGACAAACUUUCUAACAAUCAGUGGUCUCCCUUUUUGCUUGGUCUGAGGAAUCUUCAACAGGACAACAGAAGGAUCUAGAGUCUCUCUCUGAGAGUAGCAUCUUGCCCUUCCCUUCUGUUCUUGCCCUAUACAUUCCCUCUGAUCACCUGUACCCUUGUUUUUCUGAAGACAAUUCUAAGAAAGGACUCAGGCCACCUUACAAAAAUUCUAAUUAUGAAACUGUAUGGAUAUUUCAGUCGCUUCCUCUUUUUUCAGAUAAUCCCUCAUACAUACCUCCCCAACUUGCAGCUCCUAGCCAACAAGCUGCUGAGCUGGUGUUGCCAAUAGCUGUCCGUUUCAGGUCUCAAGCAAUGAUCCAUCAGUGUCCCACAGUUGCCUUGGAGGGGGAGAACCUACGAUAAUUUAUGUCUUUAAACAUGACUAAAUUGCACGCUAAUUUUGAAGGCUUCUCCAGAUCAUUCCAGGAUCAUCAAAUAUUCAAGAGGAAAUACUCAUACAAAUGUAUGAAAUGUAUCAUCUCAGCCAAGCAUAUCAGCUUUCCCACUGAGUGGUCCCGUCUCUCCUCCUGAAUGUGUCAGGCCUGGACGGGUGCUACAAAGUUAGCCCAAGCUGGUUGGUAACCCCUCCUCAGCUAGGUGUGUUAAAGCUGUCGAGUUGUCAUGGCUGAAGUAACGCAUAUAAGUCCACACCACCUUAUAGAAAUUUGGGCCAAAAUAAAAAUUCUAAACAACCUGGUCCUUGCAGAUUCUCGAUAGCGUGUGACUCAGAUCUUGUUAUGAUACUCCCGUAUCACAGGAGUUGCAGUGAGUAGGGACAUUUUGGCCACUACUUUGUCAGUGGAUUAGAGUCUGGCAUUGGAAGCUUAGGGAAAAAGAUGAAAGUUCUGGUAGCAAGUAGCCACUCUGGAUACAGCAGAACACUGUCAACAAAGUAUCUUAAGAGGACAGUAAGAAAGUUAAUAAUAAUAAUAAUAAUAAAUGUAAAAAAUGUUUCCCCCCUUCAAAUUCCUAGCCAGGCAAGCCCAGGAAGGCAUAAAGACCCCAGAGAUGUCUGCACUGGUGUAAAUCCAGGUUCAAAAACCUCACUGGCAUCAUUGCACACAGUGUGGUCACUAGAAAAAAGAUUACUCCCAAAUAGACACAACAAACCUUAAUAAAAUUGUAUCCAGAGAAAUUUUUCUACAGAAAGUUGUCAAAAUAAGUAACUUCUCUUUACCCUGCCUCUAGGGGAAAGAAAUGGAUUUAAAAGGAAACAGUGGCUGGUGUUUAUUAGGAUAGAGAAGAAAAGAUAUAAAAAUAUGUACCAGGCCAGCCUGAAGGACAAGCAAACUACAAGAUGAAGCCUAAACCCCACACCCCUCCCUUGGUGAAGGGAGAAUGUUCAGCCUUGCUCUAAGGAGACACGGGCCUCACUUUCUGUCCUCCGUAUAGAAAAGGACCAAGAAGUUAGAGAUACUCAGAUGUAUUUUAACUUUACAGUUGAAACAUAAUCUGCUCUGCUCAGUACGUCAGGACUGAGCUGUGAUGGUGUCAUGGACGGAAUGUUUGUGUCCCUCCCACAUUCGUGUGUUGAAACUCUAACCAGCAGCGUCAUGGUAUUAGGAGGUGGGGCCCUUGGGAGGCGAUCAGGUCGUGAAGGCGGAGCCCUCGUAAAUAGGGUUCGUGCUUUUACGAAAGAGACCCCAGAGAGCUCCCUCACCCCUUCUGCCAUGUGAAGACACAGCGAGAGGAGCGCUGUCUGCGACCCAGGAAGAAGGCCUUCACCAGACGCUGCGUCUGCCAGCACCUUGAUCUUGGACUCCAGCCUCCAGAACGGUGAGAAAUAAAGGCUUGCUGUUAAGCCACCUGGCCCGUGGUGUUUUCUUAUAGCAGCCCCAACUGACUAAGACGUUGAGAGACUCGUAAGACAGGCCCUUGAGUGGCCUCUGCUCCUCAUUCUACUGUUAGAACUUAAGGCACACCUGUGGGCAGCAGAGAAAAAUUAAAAUAGAAGAAAUAAUGUAAGAGCAUUUCUUUCUUUCCUUGCUAAAUCCAUGUGUUGUCUGCAAAUAAAGACUUAAAAAUAAAUGGGAAUGGGGUCAUGGUUGUCUUCUGAGCAUCUUCAAGAGCAACAUUAAAAAUAGCUAGUAUUUACUGAGAACCAUAUACUCUUCGUUUAACCCUUACAGCCACCUUUCCACCCGGGUGCCGCUCUAAUCCCCAUUUUUCUGAUGAGCAGACCAAGAGAAGUUGAGUCCUUCUCACCUCUCUUUUGUGCUUAUUGCUUCUUUCAAAAGCUUCCUUGUCUUUUUGGGCCCUUGUGGUCUUUCCUCUCUCCUCCCCACCAAAAAAAAUCAAUCAAACCUUUCAUUCCUGCAAGUUGUAAAUGUCCAAUAUCAGCUUAAAAUGUUACCUCUCCCAGGGGUCCAUGAACUUUACAGAGAUGCAAACAAACUAAGAUAAUAAAACUCAAGGUGGAAUGUGAUGCUUGAGAAGCGCAUAGUAGGUGAUAUUAUCACUAUUAUUGCAUGAGACUCAGCACAUUUGAAGUCUUCUCAAACUUAUGUAACUCGGGUGAUCGGGAUUCAGUCCUAAAUCUGUCUUAACUACAGAGUCGGAUCUCUUAAUUACUAUCUGUUCUUCCCACGGUGUGCUGGGCCUCAAGCUAAGUGCCGAAGACAGAAAGAUGUAUGGCCUAUACACUCUGAGCCUAUAUGGAACUCCCAGAGCCAGAAAAAAAUGUGAAAAAAAUACCAAAGCCAAUGAGAUGAUAUGAAAAUGACGUCAGAGCUGUGGCUGGUCAGAAGCAUUAAAAGGAAUCCAGGAUGUUGGUGGUGGAGAAUUCAAUCUACUCAAAUCAGACAACAAAAGGAAGCAAGGAAGAAUUCAGUAAGAACUCAGUUGGUAUAAAUCACAAAAUCCCUAUGAAGGAUAUAAGCCUGAAGUCCCUGGGUGACGCAGCAAUUGUAAAGGGACCUCGCAGGUCUACCGCCAGCACAGAUGGACUCACUCAGGAAGCAGGGGAUUCUCCGGUCCUGGGACCUGGUCUGAAAUCUCUGACCUAUAUGGUCAUAUUGUGGUCACGGACACUGACCCAGGAAGCUCUGCUCACCCCAGUUGUAAACUGCUCCCCGUGCUGGGAUAAGUAUGGGGUGGUAUGAGGUGGUCUGGUGUGCGUGGACGAUCCUGAGAUCCCUGAUAGAAAUCAACUAACUCAUUUGAAUUAUUGUUAGUGUUCCCACUUUCCAUCUCAAAAGUGUCCCAGUUUAUGGGGCCAGCCAGGUGGUGCAGCGGUUAAGUUCUCACGUUCCGCUCCGGUGACCCAGGGUUUGCUGG